Molecule: transfer RNA, 67 nt
Filed under: Marmota monax (woodchuck)
Lineage: Eukaryota; Metazoa; Chordata; Mammalia; Rodentia; Sciuridae
Description: tRNA.Ala
Source: RNAcentral
GGUUGUGGCUCAGUGGUAGAGAUCUUGCCUAGCACAUGUGAGGCACUGGGUUCAAUCCUCAGGACCA